CGCAAUAGCUCAACCAAGAACAGCGGAGCGUCACUCGUUUAGAAACAUCGCGCUACUUUUGUUUUGUUUGUUUUUUAAUAGUUACAAACUUACCGUGCCUGUAAACAAAGCUUGUCUACCUCUCCUAAUUCUCGCUCUGCCGUUUCUCAUCCGCUACCUCAGCGUGAGGAGGGGGUGACUAUCACGAGGAAAGCGACGAAGGCUGGCCCUAAUAUGUGACGUAAAACAUCCCACCGCUGGGAUGAAAGCAGCGGACCGAUUCCGCCCCUGUCCUGUAGUCAGAAAGUGGCUCCUCAGCCUGUUUGUCCUCCUGCUUGGGGACAUCCAGGCGGUCUAUGAAGCUCUGCAGCUCCUUCCUGAAGGCUUUCAUCUGGGCGUUGAUACGAUACAGCAGCUCAUGCUCUCUGAUCCUGUGGAAGAACAAGUUUGGACUUUCAAAUCAGGCAAAUAGCAGGAGAUUAUAACAAUGUAGUGAUCACACAAAACUGUGAUAGUUUUUUCAUGUAACAAUUACCUGCCACUUUCUUCAUCCUCAUCCAACCUAGCAAACAGCUCCCCAUU
Molecule: long non-coding RNA, 561 nt
Organism: Archocentrus centrarchus (flier cichlid)
Lineage: Eukaryota; Metazoa; Chordata; Actinopteri; Cichliformes; Cichlidae
Exons: 3
Source: RefSeq, a predicted model, not a curated record